Molecule: ribosomal RNA, 840 nt
Filed under: uncultured fungus
Lineage: Eukaryota; Fungi
Description: SSU rRNA
Rfam family: Eukaryotic small subunit ribosomal RNA
Source: RNAcentral
GUGCCAGCAGCCGCGGUAAUUCCAGCUCCAAUAGCGUAUAUUAAAGUUGUUGUGGUUAAAAAGCUCGUAGUUGAACCUUGGGCCUGGCUGGCCGGUCCGCCUCACCGCGUGCACUGGUCCGGCCGGGCCUUUCCCUCUGUGGAACCCCAUACCCUUCACUGGGCGUGGCGGGGAAACAGGACAUUUACUUUGAAAAAAUUAGAGUGCUCCAGGCAGGCCUAUGCUCGAAUACAUUAGCAUGGAAUAAUAAAAUAGGACGCGCGGUUCUAUUUUGUUGGUUUAUAGGACCGCCGUAAUGAUUAAUAGGGACAGUCGGGGGCAUCAGUAUUCAACUGUCAGAGGUGAAAUUCUUGGAUCAGUUGAAGACUAACUACUGCGAAAGCAUUUGCCAAGGAUGUUUUCAUUAAUCAGGAACGAAAGUUAGGGGAUCGAAGACGAUCAGAUACCGUCGUAGUCUUAACCAUAAACUAUGCCGACUAGGGAUCGGACGGUGUUAUUCAUGACCCGUUCGGCACCUUACGAGAAAUCAAAGUGCUUGGGCUCCAGGGGGAGUAUGGUCGCAAGGCUGAAACUUAAGGAAAUUGACGGAAGGGCACCACCAGGGGUGGAGCCUGCGGCUUAAUUUGACUCAACACGGGGGAAACUCACCAGGUCCAGACACAAUAAGGGAUUGACAGAUUGAGAGCUCUUUUCUUGAUUUUGUGGGUGGUGGUGCAUGGCCGUUCUUAGUUGGUGGGGUGACUUGUCUGCUUAAUUGCGAUAACGAACGAGACCUUAACCUGCUAAAUAGCCCCGCAUUGCUCCCGGCAGUGGCGCUGGGCUUCUUAGAAGGGAACUUUC